UACAAAGCGUUUGCCAAACUGAGGAGGGGAAAACCAUCCUGCUUCCCAGUGCCUGUGUGAUGAGAAGCCAUAUUGUCGCAUCUUUUUCUGGGUGUUUUUUUAAAUUAUUUUUCACAUCAUGUUCUUCUCAAUUAGGGCGCAAGUAAGCAGCAACUUAAGGGGUGUAGUUAUGCCAAGUACUCAACCUUGGGUGUAUUGGUGUGUACCAUAAAUCAGCCAAAAAAAAGUGGAUGUCCAAUGUAGCCGCUAAAAAGCAUGAGUUCUUAUUAAAAAGUUGUAAAACUUUUUAUUUCCCAUAACUAAUACUCACUAUACAUGCUUUACAUUUUGAAACAACUGUACAAAUAUUUAUUCUCACAGUAUCCCUAUAGGCAACGAAUAGCAUUACCCCCUUUUUGUACAUAGGGAAAUGGAGGCACAGUGGUGAUGUAACUUGCCUAAGGUCACAGGAGGCCAGCGGCAGAGCUACGAUUGAAGUGAGGAGUCCUUGUGCUCAAAACUGGUUUCCACAGAUAUGGAAGCAGGAACUGAAACCCCGCAACUGAGAUCCAGAGUACUAACAAACUUACAAUGAUUUCUGCUUUUGUGGAAACAGGUACUGGAUCUUCAGAUAUAUAAGACUGUAGCUGUCCCCAAGUAAAGAAGACUCCUGCAGGUUCAGCAGGUAGAGAUGGGGAACCGGCGACAGAAGGAUUCCCUCCCUGCUGUAUAUCAGGUAGCAUAAGGAAGAUCACAUUCUUUAUUUCUUAAUUCACUGUUAUUGAAUGUUUGUAUAGUCCUGACACAAGGACUGCCUAGAGACCCUUGUGAGGCAUGGUGCUUGGCACCUGCCCCAAUGCUUCCAGGCUAAAGCAAUGUCUUCACUGCCAAAAAUGGUGCGUUUUUAACUGCAGGGAAACUAACAUGCAUUAGCUAGCCUGCUGUAAAACCCUAGUGGAGGCAAUGCACUGUAGUAUUCAGAUAAGGUCAACCACUGAUUUUAUAUCAGUGGUUGAUCUUAUCAGAAUAUUCAUAUUUUUUUCUUAUUUUUUAUAAUAAAAAAUGUUGAUGUCACUUGGUUAUCUUGUAAUGCUUUGUCUCCUAGGAUUUUACAGUAGACUAGCUAUGAUAUUACAUGUCAUACUAUUAAACAAAGGAAAACAUCUUUUUUGCAGUGGAGACUUAUACGCAGACAGAUUUGUGCUGUAAACAGGGGAGGAGAGCUCAGUGAGUGAGAUUAUUAAUUAGCAGUGGCCACAGGUGAGACCUGCUGCCCUCAUCUGCAAUCCUAGGCUCUCCUGCAGUAGCUCAGGUCACUUCAGAAAGAGUGGCAUAAGCUUGAGUGCAGCAGCAUGGAGGUUCUUCUGGCUGUAGAGGCUCCCAUUGGAAGUGGCUUAGGAAAUCUGCUACAUGAGAACAGAAACACAAUGGGAGCAAGCUUACCAGCCCCCACAAUCCUAGACUGUAGUAUUCCUGUGUUACCCAAUCUCCUCUAUGCUCAGCCUGCCUUAUUCCUCUACCUUACGCAGUUAUCCACUAUGCUGUGUAAAGAUUCGGUGCCCCACCCUAUUUUAAUUGGAACACCAAAAGCUUGUGAUCCCCAGCACAGAGCCUGUCAGAUCUCAGAUUUGGCAAAGCAGCCUCAACUGUUUCACUAUCAUUAAUGUGUUUAAACCCCCUCCAAAAUACCACAGCCCUCACUCAGCUAAGAGCAACAUGUAGAAAGGGCAAAGAGCCUAUAAACAUGAAAAUGAAUUUAAAGAAUAAUUUGACAACUUACCUUACUAGCAGAUAGUUGACAGCUUUUCUCAGUAUGUUUUGUUUGAUGGAAGGGCUGGGGAAGAGAAUACAAAUCUGUCUGUGUCCGCUCCUCAGCGAAUGUAACUUUUCCCCUUAAGUAACUAUGUAGCUAAAUGUGGCACUGAACUAUGUAUUCAUUCCAAAUAAGAAUGAAACUAAGAGGAUCUUAAUGCAUCCUGGACACUUUAGGAAUAUACUGUACUUUCUUUGAUGCAUUGUUUUGCAACUAUGAUUGAUCGCUUGAAAAAUUAAACUACUGUACAUUUCACUUCCUUACAAAAGACUUGAGAUGAAGUAUUGGUCAAAGCUAUAAGGGAGAAAGACCAUAAUCAACAGAGCUGUAAGAGUACUACUUAGUCCCCAUUGGCACUACAGGAGGUCUGAGGGUACCAAAUGCAAAAGGAACAGUCAAACAGGAAGUUUGAAAAGUAGGGAUCCUUUUGGCCAUGUCCCUGUCAGGGAUUUAUUGCUCUGAGAUUUAGGACUAACGGUUGCACCAUUUUCUGGCUAAGAAUCACUGGGUCUAGUAUUGUCUAUUGAUGUUGACAUUAUCCACUCCGAGGCCACCACUACCUGUCUAUCAGUACUAAAGAGAAACUAAAGCCACCUUUCUUAUACUGAUUUAAAAUCAUGCAGCAAAGAUGUGUACCUCCAUGGUUUCAGUAAUUGGGACACAGUCAGGUCAAAUUUGGCCUCAAAUAUGGGUUUUGUAAGUAAAUACAUAAAACGUUUCCAUUUGAACACUAAGGGAGGGGCUUUUAAAACAAUGUUUCCCCUGCAGCGUUUGCAGUUUUAACAGUAUCAUUAGAGGCUAAAGUGUGAGACUCCUGAUGUGAAAUAGACAGCUUGGCAAAUCCAUUUCCAGUGUCAAAACAGUAACCCAAGAAGCAAAACCCCGUAAGUAGUGAAGUUUAAAUUUAAAACUUCAGUUUUAAAACGAAGACAUUUGUAAGAGACAAGGAAACUUUAUAAAAUGUAUGUAUUUUUAGUCAAUGGGAUUAAAGGUGUCUACAAAGAAUCUUAAUGGAGCUUGGCUCUUUCUUUGAUGUAUACAUGCAAGCUGCAUGAGUAAACUUUUUUCUGCUUGUUUACCUUAGAAAAAAAAAUCAGAGCUUGCCUGAUGUUUUUGAGACAUUGGGAAGUCCAAGGGGUCUUUAUUGUAAGAUGACCACCUUAGUUGGAGGGGGAGGAUGAUGAAUCU
This is an RNA transcript of Dermochelys coriacea (leatherback sea turtle), 2980 nucleotides long. RefSeq lists it as uncharacterized. The record is from RefSeq and is a predicted model, not a curated record. The transcript is spliced from 4 exons. Lineage: Eukaryota; Metazoa; Chordata; Testudines; Dermochelyidae.